This 71-nucleotide transfer RNA is filed under the name Coemansia erecta. It matches the Rfam family "tRNA". From Rfam's summary of the family: Transfer RNA (tRNA) molecules are approximately 80 nucleotides in length. RNAcentral also lists the same sequence under 4 other names. Lineage: Eukaryota; Fungi; Kickxellomycota; Kickxellomycetes; Kickxellales; Kickxellaceae. The record is from Rfam by way of RNAcentral.
GGGGAUAUAAUAUAAUGGUAGUAUAUAGCUUUUGCAAAGCUGAUGUAAGAGUUCAAUUCUCUUUAUCUCCA